Molecule: ribosomal RNA, 255 nt
Filed under: uncultured bacterium
Lineage: Bacteria
Description: partial 16S ribosomal RNA
Rfam family: Bacterial small subunit ribosomal RNA
Source: RNAcentral
UACGGAGGGUGCGAGCGUUGUCCGGAAUCACUGGGCGUAAAGGGCGCGUAGGCGGCGCGGGAAGUCCGUGGUGAAAGCCCGAGGCUCAACUUCGGGUCGGCCAUGGAUACUCCUGGGCUCGAGUACUGGAGAGGAGAUUGGAAUUAUCGGUGUAGCAGUGAAAUGCGUAGAUAUCGUAAGGAAGACAGUGGACGAAGGCGAAUCUCUGGACAGUUACUGACACUGAGGCACGGAAGGCUAAGGGGAGCAAACGGG